AUAUCUCUCUGUACGGGAAGGAUGAGAAGCUUCUACCAGGGUUCGAUUCGAGCGCAGCGAGAAAGCGUUGCCGCAGGCAACGACCCGAAGGGCGA
RNAcentral lists this small RNA (95 nucleotides) under Salmonella enterica subsp. enterica serovar Heidelberg. Its description in RNAcentral is "partial RtT sRNA". It matches the Rfam family "RtT RNA", at positions 1 to 94 of the family's 130-position model. Rfam says of the family: This family represents a bacterial cis-regulatory element known as RtT RNA. Lineage: Bacteria; Pseudomonadati; Pseudomonadota; Gammaproteobacteria; Enterobacterales; Enterobacteriaceae. RNAcentral also lists the same sequence under 3 other names. The record is from RNAcentral.